Molecule: ribosomal RNA, 250 nt
Filed under: uncultured prokaryote
Description: partial 16S ribosomal RNA
Rfam family: Bacterial small subunit ribosomal RNA
Source: RNAcentral
UACGUAUGGGGCAAGCGUUAUCCGGAUUUACUGGGUGUAAAGGGAGCGUAGACGGUACGGCAAGCCCGAUGUGAAAACCCGCAGCUCAACUGCGGGAUUGCAUUAGGAACUGUCGAACUAGAGUGUCGGAGAGGUAAGUGGAAUUCCUAGUGUAGCGGUGAAAUGCGUAGAUGUUAGGAGGAACACCAGUGGCGAAGGCGGCUUACUGGACGAUGACUGACGUUGAGGCUCGAAAGCGUGGGGAGCAAAC